GUAAUGUUAAUUUCUGAAGUGUUCUGAAUGGCGGGAAGUUCAUCACAUCUUUUCAGGCUUCUUAACUUCAGCAGCAGAUUGCAAAACUGGCUUUAACCCGGGAUGACAGCAUGCUUUUUACAGCCGAUCAUGUCGGCUUCAUCUACAUUUACAAUGUCAAGCAAUACGCCCUGGGACCCGAACAAAACCCUCCGAAAAAGGUGAACUUCUGGCGUGCGUAUAUCAGCAGCAUCACUAGGUACAUUUGGAUAAGAAGAAAGUUGGAGCAUCAACACACCAUCUUCCUGGAAGCACCCUGCUGUUCCCUACGAGAUUCUCAUAGAUCCCUUAAGUAUGCCGUCUCAUCCCGUACUGGAUAUAGAAAUCAGUCUGUCAGAUGUCUCGGAGAAAACUGAAAACGUAAACUGUGAGUUGGAUGUCC
This is a long non-coding RNA of Cyprinus carpio (common carp), 421 nucleotides long. NCBI's taxonomy places the organism in Eukaryota, Metazoa, Chordata, Actinopteri, Cypriniformes, Cyprinidae. The record is from Ensembl.